Molecule: ribosomal RNA, 366 nt
Filed under: uncultured bacterium
Lineage: Bacteria
Description: bacterial SSU rRNA
Rfam family: Bacterial small subunit ribosomal RNA
Source: RNAcentral
AACGAACGCUGGCGGCGGGCUUAACACAUGCAAGUCGAACGCUCGUAGCGAUACGAGAGUGGCAGACGGGUGAGUAACACGUGGGAACAUACCCUUUGGUUCGGAACAACGCGUGGAAACGCGCGCUAAUACCGGAUAAGCCUCUGGAGUGAUCCGGGGGAAGAUGAUNCGAGAUGCCGCGUCGAUAGCUGUUGGUGAGGUAACGGCUCACCAAGGCAUCGAUCGGAGCUGGUCUGAGAGGAUGGCCAGCCACAUUGGGACUGAGACACGGCCCAAACUCCUACGGGAGGGCAGCAGUGGGGAAGUAUUGGGACAAUGGGCGGCAAGCCUGAUCCAGCCAUGCCGCGUGAGUGAUGACGGCCGUUA